GUGGAUUAGAUACCCUGGUAGUCCACGCCGUAAACGAUGGGCGCUAGGUGUGGGAGGUGUCGACUCCUUCCGUGCCGCAGCUAACGCAUUAAGCGCCCCGCCUGGGGAGUACGGCCGCAAGGCUAAAACUCAAAGGAAUUGACGGGGGCCCGCACAAGCAGCGGAGCAUGUGGUUUAAUUGGAUGCAACGCCAAGAACCUUACCAAGGCUUGACAUGGUCGGGAAAGCUGGAGAAAUUCAGCCCUCCUUCGGGACUCGAUCACAGGUGGUGCAUGUUUGUCGUCAACU
Molecule: ribosomal RNA, 288 nt
Filed under: uncultured bacterium
Lineage: Bacteria
Description: partial 16S ribosomal RNA
Rfam family: Bacterial small subunit ribosomal RNA
Source: RNAcentral